CCUACGGGGGGCUGCAGUGGGGAAUAUUGCACAAUGGGCGAAACCCUGAUGCAGCGACGCCGCGUGAGUGAAGAAGGAAUUCGUUAUGUAAAGCUCUAUCAGCAGGGAAGAAAAUGACGGUACCUGAGUAAGAAGCCCCGGCUAACUACGUGCCAGCAGCCGCGGGAAUACGUCGGGGGCAAGCGUUAGCCGGAUUUACUGGGGGGAAGGGGAGCGUAGACGGCAGGGCAAGGAUGGAGUGAAAGGCGGGGGCUCAACCCCCGGACUGCUCUGGAAACUGUACGGCUGGAGUGCAGGAGAGGUAAGUGGAAUUCCUGGUGUAGCGGUGAAAUGCGUAGAUAUUAGGAGGAACACCAGUGGCGAAGGCGGCUUACUGGACUGUAACUGACGUUGAGGCUCGAAAGCGUGGGGAGCAAACAGGAUUAGAUACCCUAGUAGUC
This 440-nucleotide ribosomal RNA is filed under the name uncultured bacterium. RNAcentral's name for it is "partial 16S ribosomal RNA". It matches the Rfam family "Bacterial small subunit ribosomal RNA", at positions 338 to 795 of the family's 1533-position model. The record is from RNAcentral.